Long non-coding RNA from Cimex lectularius (bed bug), 590 nucleotides. RefSeq lists it as uncharacterized. The record is from RefSeq and is a predicted model, not a curated record. Lineage: Eukaryota; Metazoa; Arthropoda; Insecta; Hemiptera; Cimicidae. The transcript has 2 exons.
UUAUAAAACAUCUGAUUGUCAUUACACAUCAUGUUUCGGUGACGGUUAUUAGAGCUUAUGAAAAUUUCGAUCUCGGGCCCGUUUUCACGUCGGUUAAAAUUCGAGUUGUGAACGGUUUCAAGAUGUCAAGCUCAGACGGGUUCGAGACGGAAGAGGAAUGCGUCGAGGUGGAAAAACGAACACCGACUUCCUUCGACUACUUUAUACUUUUUCGUCCGAGCACUUACGACUUGAUACGUCCUUUCGUUAAGACGUUCGUCACGUUCGCCGUGGCCUUUUACGCCAUAGUCUUCAUUUUGACCAGCACCAUACAGCCUGACUAGAAAACCUUGGGGGAGCCUUUCCGAUAGUUGUGGAGAUCUUGACGAGAUGGAACUACGAGAUGAAAGCCACGGUGGAAAAAUUUUUCUGCAGACUUCAAGAUUGGACUUCAGCCUGACUUUCGCGUAGACCGUAAUUGGUCACUUAAAAGGUAUGAGGUUCUCCGUUUGGAAAGGCAAAAACCCAAGAAAAUUUAAGGCCCCCAUGACUCACAAAGGAAAGACAACGAAUCAUGAAAAAUAAAUAAUAAAAAUCGAUAAAUAAGUGAA